RNAcentral lists this ribosomal RNA (440 nucleotides) under uncultured bacterium. Its description in RNAcentral is "partial 16S ribosomal RNA". It matches the Rfam family "Bacterial small subunit ribosomal RNA", at positions 338 to 795 of the family's 1533-position model. The record is from RNAcentral.
CCUACGGGUGGCAGCAGUGGGGGAUAUUGCACAAUGGGGGAAACCCUGAUGCAGCGACGCCGCGUGUAGGAAGACGGUCCUCUGGAUUGUAAACUACUGUUCCCAGGGACGAAGAUGACGGUACCUGGGGAGGAAGCUCCGGCUAACUACGUGCCAGCAGCCGCGGUAAUACGGAGGGAGCGAGCGUUGUCCGUAAUUACUGGGUGUAAAGGGAGCGUAGGCGGGGAUGGAAGUUGGGUGUUAAAUCUACCGGCUCAACUGGUAGUCGAACUCAAAACUGCAGCUCUUGAGUGAAGUAGAGGCAGGCGGAAUUCCUGGUGUAGCGGUGAAAUGCGUAGAUAUUAGGAGGAACACCAGUGGCGAAGGCGGCCUGCUGGGCUUUUACUGACGCUGAGGCUCGAAAGUGUGGGGAGCAAACAGGAUUAGAUACCCUGGUAGUC